UUUUUCUGAUUUGAUACUUAUGGUUUGUUCAGCUUUUUACAAAUUUGUCAUUUCUUUCUCAUUCUAAAUGAUUUUUUUUUUUUUGCACUUUGUAGCUGUUAAUUUGGUGUUAUUUUUCUUAAAUAAGCCCUCCAGAUUGCAUAACGUUUAGGCCCCCAAAGUCCAGACCACUCCAGUUCCCAGCCUCACCAUUUGUUCAGAAAAAGAAUAUUUCCCAUCCUCCUAAAAGGAACAAAAGCUGUUGCAAGUAUUGAAUUCCCUAGUCACAGGGUUUGUGGGGAUCUGGGGUCCACACAGAGGCCUCUGGGUUGGGUUCUUGUGAGUCCUCUCUUCCUGGCUUGGAGAUGGGUGUCUUUCUGCUGUGUCUUCACAUGGUGGGAAGAGAGAAAGAGAGAAAGAGAGAAAGAGAGAGAAAGAGAUAUGGUAUGUCUUCUUCUUCUUCUUCUUUUUUUUUCCCGAGACGGAGUCUAGCUCUGCUGCCAGGCUGGAGUGCAGUGGUGCAAUCUUGACUCACUGCAACCUCCUCCUCCUGGGUUCAAGGGAUUCUCCUGCCUCAGCCUCCCGAGUAGCUGGGAUUACAGGCAUGCGCCACCACGCCUGGCUAAUUUUUGUAUUUUUAGUAGAGAAGGGGUUUCACCAUGUUGGCCAGGCUGGUCUCAAACUCCUGACCUCAGGUGAUCCUCUGGCCUCUCAAGUGUUGGGAUUACAGGCGUGAGCCACCAUGCCCGGCCAAGAUUGUGUCUUAAUUCAACACUGUGUACCUUUCAUGUUGUGCAGUGCCAGGCAUGUUGCUGUGUUUGUUUAUUACUUGUAAUUUACUAGAUUCUUCUAUUUCUUGACCUUCUGGAAUUGAACACAAUCAAUUGCUAUUAGUUAUUUAUUUAUUUGCUUUUUUAUUGUUUUCUUAAGCUUGUGAGGUCUUUAGGUGAGAGUGGGAAGGGAGUGGCUUCCAACACACGAAACAUCCAAGGAAGAAGUCAGAGUUCCAUGUAUAAAACCUAAAGAAAUGGCUUCUUUUUCUAUUUUAAGCAAGGUAGUGGAGAUGUUCUGUUCUGAAGGUUGCAGUCAACACUAUCACAAGGUACAGGGACAGGCUGGAGAAUUCCUUUCUAUCAAAGUCUUAGACCAGUAGAGUUAGCACUAAGAGGAAUGCAACCCAUUCAUUUUACUGAUGAGGAGACAGAAGGUCAAGGUGGACCAUGGUGGGGUUUCACUCAACAUUCUGGAUUCCCCAUCCUGAUAGUUCCUUCUGUAGAUGAGCCAGUAUUGAUACAUUACUGAGUCCUAAUUUUUUUACUAGGAUAAUCACUAAAAUCCAUAUUUAGGUUAGAGUUCACUCUUUGUGUUGUACAAUCCGUGGGUUUUGAAAAAUGCAUAAUGACAUCCAUCCACCAUGAUAGUAUCAAACAGAAGACCUCCACUGCCCUAGAGACCCUUGAUGCUCCUCCUGUUCCUCCCUCCCUUCUAACCCCUGGCAACCAUUGCUGUCUUUACUGUCUCCACGGUUUGGCCCUUUCUAGAACAUCACAGAGUGGAAACCAUGCGGUGGGGAGCCUUUUCAGAUUGGCUUCUUUCUCGGCUCACAGGAAGAAAUGAUGAAUUGGGGAUCAGACACCUGAGAGUUGGGAUUUUUUUUUUAAUUACAUGCCUUUUUGAAAAACUGGACUUUGUAUUUAUAAGCUAGGAUCUGUGAUACAGAAGGAACCAUCGGGAUGGGGAAUCCAGAAUGUUGAGUCAAACCCCACCGUGGUCCACCUUGACCUUCUGUCUCCUCAUCAGUAAAAUGAAUGGGUUGCAUUCCUCUUAGUGCUAACUCUACCUAAGACUUUGAUGGAGAGGAAUUCUCCAACCUGUCCCUGUACCUCGUGAUAGUGUUGAUUUCACUUCACACUCCUCCAUGUCUUGUUGCAGCUUGCCGGCUCAUUUCUUCUUAUUCCUGAAUAACGUGGGAGUCUUCUCUACAGAUCCUCCCAGGUGGUUCCACGGGGGAGCUGAGUGGAGCUUCUGUGAUCUAGUGACCUAGUCCCCAGCAUGGAGUGCUCGGAAGUGCCCUCCUUGAACAUGUAAACAUCCCACCAAGUUGCCUCCCUUCUCUUGCUAUUUUGAUGUAGCUUUCUUUUCAAUGGUCUUAUUUCUGGGUCUAGCCCCCAGACACACUUUCCACCCCAUGUCCUAACCUACACUCUGCAGCACAUCGCACCUGUGCAGGGUGAUCGGUGAUUGCAGGCCUGGGUCCACGUCUCUGCUCUGCUUCUUGCUGGCCACGAGGCUGCGUGCUCCUUACUGGCCCCUGCGUGCUCAUCUGUACAGUGUGCAGGAGCAGGAGCAUCUGCCGGCAGACUUCUUGUGAGAUUCUAGUUCUGAGGCCUCCAGA
RNAcentral lists this long non-coding RNA (2374 nucleotides) under Homo sapiens (human). RNAcentral's name for it is "non-protein coding lnc-MYEOV-7:1". Lineage: Eukaryota; Metazoa; Chordata; Mammalia; Primates; Hominidae. The record is from RNAcentral.